RNAcentral lists this ribosomal RNA (803 nucleotides) under uncultured Pelagibacteraceae bacterium. RNAcentral's name for it is "bacterial SSU rRNA". It matches the Rfam family "Bacterial small subunit ribosomal RNA", at positions 33 to 884 of the family's 1533-position model. Lineage: Bacteria; Pseudomonadati; Pseudomonadota; Alphaproteobacteria; Candidatus Pelagibacterales; Candidatus Pelagibacteraceae. The record is from RNAcentral.
ACGCUGGCGGCACGCCUAACACAUGCAAGUCGAACGAAGUAGCAAUACUUAGUGGCGAACGGGUGAGUAUAAUGUGGGUAUCUGCCUUUUGGUUUGGAAUAACACGAGGAAACUUGUGCUAAUACCGGAUAAGCCCUUACGGGGAAAGUUUUAACGCCGAAAGAUGAGCCCGCACUUGAUUAGCUAGUUGGUAAGGUAAAAGCUUACCAAGGCUACGAUCAAUAGCUGAUCUGAGAGGAUGAUCAGCCACAUUGGGACUGAGACACGGCCCAAACUCCUACGGGAGGCAGCAGUGGGGAAUCUUGCACAAUGGGGGAAACCCUGAUGCAGCGAUGCCGCGUGAGUGAAGAAGGCCCUUGGGUUGUAAAGCUCUUUCGUCGGGGAAGAAAAUGACUGUACCCGAAUAAGAAGGUCCGGCUAACUUCGUGCCAGCAGCCGCGGUAAUACGAAGGGACCUAGCGUAGUUCGGAAUUACUGGGCUUAAAGAGCACGUAGGUGGUUAGAAUAGUUGGUGGUGAAAUCCCAGAGCUUAACUCUGGAACUGCCACCAAAACUUUUUGACUAGAGUGUGAUAGAGGUAAGCGGAAUUUCUAGUGUAGAGGUGAAAUUCGUAGAUAUUAGAAAGAACACCAAUUGCGAAGGCAGCUUUCUGGAUCAUUACUGACACUGAGGUGCGAAAGCAUGGGUAGCGAAGAGGAUUAGAUACCCUCGUAGUCCAUGCUGUAAACGAUGUGUGCUAGACGUUGGAAAUUUAUUUUUCAGUGUCGCAGCAAAAGCGUUAAGCACACCGCCUGGGGAGUACG